RNAcentral lists this RNase P RNA (387 nucleotides) under Brevibacillus fluminis. Its description in RNAcentral is "Brevibacillus sp. CJ71 Bacterial RNase P class B". It matches the Rfam family "Bacterial RNase P class B". From Rfam's summary of the family: Ribonuclease P (RNase P) is a ubiquitous endoribonuclease, found in archaea, bacteria and eukarya as well as chloroplasts and mitochondria. Its best characterised activity is the generation of mature 5'-ends of tRNAs by cleaving the 5'-leader elements of precursor-tRNAs. Cellular RNase Ps are ribonucleoproteins. Lineage: Bacteria; Bacillati; Bacillota; Bacilli; Caryophanales; Paenibacillaceae. The record is from Rfam by way of RNAcentral.
GAAUGCGGGUAGUCGCUGUCGCAGCCGUUUUUGACGGCGGGCGAUAGAGGAAAGUCCAGGCUCGCCCAGGCUGAGAUGUCUGGAGUGUUCGUACCUGGUGCAAACCAGGGCAGUGAGGCAUUGCGCUUUGCUGACGGCGCGAAAAGGGUUCUCUAGUAGACCCGAGUACGCUGAAAGUGCCACAGAAACGUAGCUUUUCUGGCGACAGAAAAGAUGGAACGCGGUAAACCCUGCGAGCGAGAAACCCAAAUUUGGUAGGGGAACCGUCCUGAAGGAAUCAAACGGAAGGGACGGAUGGCAAUUUUGCCAUAGAUAGAUGGCUACCGCUCUUUGUGCGAGGGGAUGCCCCGAUUGCAGCACGGGAGAGACAGAACCUGGCUUAUAGCA